RNAcentral lists this ribosomal RNA (513 nucleotides) under uncultured bacterium. Its description in RNAcentral is "bacterial SSU rRNA". It matches the Rfam family "Bacterial small subunit ribosomal RNA", at positions 8 to 523 of the family's 1533-position model. The record is from RNAcentral.
AGAGUUUGAUCCUGGCUCAGGAUGAACGCUAGCGGGAGGCCUAACACAUGCAAGUCGAACGGGAUUGGUAGCAAUACCAUGAGAGUGGCGCACGGGUGAGUAACGCGUAUGCAACCUACCUGUAACAGAGGGAUAGCCCAUAGAAAUGUGGAUUAAUAUCUCAUAGUUYUAUUAGAUCGCAUGAUUUGAUAGAUAAAGCUCCGGCGGUUACAGAUGGGCAUGCGUGACAUUAGCUAGUUGGUAAGGUAACGGCUUACCAAGGCUACGAUGUCUAGGGGUUCUGAGAGGAUGAUCCCCCACACUGGUACUGAGACACGGACCAGACUCCUACGGGAGGCAGCAGUGAGGAAUAUUGGUCAAUGGGCGCAAGCCUGAACCAGCCAUCCCGCGUGCAGGAUGACGGCCCUAUGGGUUGUAAACUGCUUUUAUACACCAAGAAAAACAUCCACGUGUGGGUGCCCGACGGUAGUGUGUGAAUAGCAUCGGCUAACUCCGUGCCAGCAGCCGCGGUAA